RNAcentral lists this ribosomal RNA (504 nucleotides) under uncultured bacterium. RNAcentral's name for it is "partial 16S ribosomal RNA". It matches the Rfam family "Bacterial small subunit ribosomal RNA", at positions 29 to 523 of the family's 1533-position model. The record is from RNAcentral.
AGUGAACGCUGGCGGCAGGCCUAACACAUGCAAGUCGAGCGGCAGCGGGUCGUAGCAAUACGAUGCCGGCGAGCGGCGGACGGGUGAGAAAUACAUCGGAAUCUACCCAGUCGUGGGGGAUAACGUAGGGAAACUUACGCUAAUACCGCAUACGACCUGAGGGUGAAAGCAGGGGACCGCAAGGCCUUGCGCGAUUGGAUGAGCCGAUGUCGGAUUAGCUAGUUGGUGAGGUAAAGGCUCACCAAGGCGACGAUCCGUAGCUGGUCUGAGAGGAUGAUCAGCCACACUGGAACUGAGACACGGUCCAGACUCCUACGGGAGGCAGCAGUGGGGAAUAUUGGACAAUGGGCGCAAGCCUGAUCCAGCCAUGCCGCGUGUGUGAAGAAGGCCUUCGGGUUGUAAAGCACUUUUGUCCGGGAAGAAAUCUUCCGACCUAAUACGUCGGGAGGAUGACGGUACCGGAAGAAUAAGCACCGGCUAACUUCGUGCCAGCCGCCGCCGUAA